Molecule: ribosomal RNA, 1235 nt
Filed under: metagenome
Description: bacterial LSU rRNA
Rfam family: Bacterial large subunit ribosomal RNA
Source: RNAcentral
UGAAUACGAGAUGCUACGGCGUCGAAGCAGUCUAUGUCAUACUUCCAAGAAAAGCUUGCACUAUCAUAAACAAAUAAUGCCUGUACCAUAACCGACACAGGUGGGUAGGUAGAGUAUACUAAGGGGCGCGAGAUAACUCUCUCUAAGGAACUCGGCAAAAUGACUCCGUAACUUCGGGAGAAGGAGUGCCUUAUUUUAUAAGGUUGCAAUAACAAGAUCCAAGCAACUGUUUACCAAAAACACAGGUCUCCGCUAAGUCGUAAGACGAUGUAUGGGGGCUGACGCCUGCCCAGUGCCAGAAGGUUAAAGAAGUUGGUUAGCAUCCGCGAAGCUGAUAACUGAAGCCCUGGUGAACGGCGGCCGUAACUAUAACGGUCCUAAGGUAGCGAAAUUCCUUGUCGGGUAAGUUCCGACCCGCACGAAAGGCGUAAUGAUUUGGAUACUGUCUCAGAGAGGGGCUCGGUGAAAUAGACUUGUCUGUGAAGAUGCGGACUACCUGCACCAGGACAGAAAGACCCUAUGAAGCUUUACUGUAACUUGAAAUUGAAAUUGGACUUUACUUGCGCAGUAUAGGUGGGAGGCGUUGAUAAUAUUCUUGCGGGAAUAUUGGAGCCAUCAGUGAGGUACCACUCUUGUAAUGUUAGAUUUCUAACUUUGUAUCAUUAUCUGGUCAAAGGACAGUUUCAGGCGGGCAGUUUGACUGGGGCGGUCGCCUCCCAAACGGUAACGGGGGCGCACAAAGGUUUCCUCUGAACGGGUAGAAAUCGUAUCUAGAGUGUAAAGGCAUAAGGAAGCUUGACUGUGAGACCUACAAGUCGAGCAGGGACGAAAGUCGGUCUUAGUGAUCUGACGGUGCUGAGUGGAAAGGCCGUCACUCAACGGAUAAAAGUUACUCUAGGAUAACAGGCUGAUCUCCCCCAAGAGUUCACAUCGACGGGGAGGUUUGGCACCUCGAUGUCGGCUCAUCGCAUCCUGGGGCGGUAGUACGUCCCAAGGGUUGGGCUGUUCGCCCAUGAAAGCGGUACGCGAGCUGGGUUCAGAACGUCGUGAGACAGUUCGGUCCAUAUCCGGUGUAGGCGUUAGAAUAUUGAGAGGAGCCUUCUUUAGUACGAGAGGACCGAGAAGGACAUACCUCUGGUGUACCAGUUAUCGUGCCAACGGUAAACGCUGGGUAGCUAUGUAUGGAGUGGAUAACCGCUGAAAGCAUCUAAGUGGGAAGCCCACCUCAAGAUAAG